RNAcentral lists this ribosomal RNA (160 nucleotides) under Trichoderma harzianum. RNAcentral's name for it is "5.8S ribosomal RNA". The stretch from base 24 to 160 matches the Rfam family "5.8S ribosomal RNA", at positions 1 to 137 of the family's 154-position model. From Rfam's summary of the family: 5.8S ribosomal RNA (5.8S rRNA) is a component of the large subunit of the eukaryotic ribosome. Lineage: Eukaryota; Fungi; Ascomycota; Sordariomycetes; Hypocreales; Hypocreaceae. The record is from RNAcentral.
UAGGCGUUUCGAAAAUGAAUCAAAACUUUCAACAACGGAUCUCUUGGUUCUGGCAUCGAUGAAGAACGCAGCGAAAUGCGAUAAGUAAUGUGAAUUGCAGAAUUCAGUGAAUCAUCGAAUCUUUGAACGCACAUUGCGCCCGCCAGUAUUCUGGCGGGCA